Molecule: long non-coding RNA, 1619 nt
Organism: Esox lucius (northern pike)
Lineage: Eukaryota; Metazoa; Chordata; Actinopteri; Esociformes; Esocidae
Source: Ensembl
AGAAGAAGAAGCGAAUGUGGCGCGAAUCUGUAUUUUUCCACCCAUCAUCAAGCCAACCGCCAGAUUACAGAAAGCUCUUCACGUCAGAAAGCGAAAGCGUCAUAAGCAGCUGUGUGAAGCAAUGCUAUACGCAGGGGCUGUUUGGGUGGAGAAUGGGAAGCAGAUGGAAGAAGUUUUGCCAUUGAACUGGAUCGACACAGAGACCAAAGUGUAAACCGACAGGAGUGUGAAAAAUAUAAUUACACCUCAGCUCAAACCGAAGAGGAGGACACAGUCAGUCAAAAGAGAAUGAAGAAAAUAAGGACAUUUGAAGAUUAUGUUCAAGAUUUGUCUCCUGAGGAGGAUGAGUCCUUGCCAGACAAGAAAAAGGAGGAUACAGUCUUGCUUCCGGUUCCUCCGCCAAAGAUUAAGCUCUCACAUAGGGGACAAAAUGCAAGGCUGCUUGAGUUACCUGCACCCCCAGAACUGGCUAACACCGCCAUUAGACAACCAGCGAGUCCUGCAUCUUCAGACAUUUCUGGAUGUUCUCGUCCAACGCCUCACCGUUCACCCACAAGGUCUGAAUCAACAGAAGCAUUUAGUCCAGAGUCUGCCAGUAGGAUCUAUGGAUCUUGCACACCUCAGCGUGGAGUUUGAAAGCCAUCACAGUCCGGGAGCAGAAAGAGUCGGGCAUCCUCAUCCAGUGUCCCAGCUCUCAAAGGUGGGAGGGAGAAACCAUAAAGACUGCGUCCAUAAAGUGAUGGAGAGGCUUUUCACCAACAAUCUAAUGGCUGGUUUCAACAUGAAGGGGCAGGGUCGCAGUGAGAAAAAAGCCUUCCAGGAUACAGUUUUUUACUCUUUGGACUACCUACCUUCCUCUUGGAUCACACUAAAUAGGUCAAUGUGUCCUAGACAAACAGCCUCAAUGAGGUAAAAUGAAUAAUGUGAGGGACAUUGGUUCUUCUGUAGAUGGCAUUAACAAAAUGCUUAUUUUUCAUAUUGUGUUUCUUAACCUAAUGAACAGGACUCAGCUGUGACUGGAGAUUCCCCCCCAUGAUGAGAGAGGAUGAGACACUGUGAGAGAUGAUGCAGUAUGUUGACAAAGGGAGACUGAAUGACGUACAGUACACUGUUUCACCGUAGGAGUCAGGUGUCACUGAACAACAAUAAAACCAAUGUGGUUUUCAAACCAGAGUUGUAGAGAAAAAGUGGUUCUAAUAUUAUAUUUUCCCCUUCACAUAGGAUUUGUUGUUUUCCUCAUUUGCCUUUUAAACAUAGAACUGUUUAUAACAUUUCUGUUAUGUGCAACUUACAUUGCCUUUUCUAUAGACCUAACUUCUGGGCAGUGGGAAAGGUCAAUCUGUUAACAUAACAAGCCAGCUUGACUAUUACCAAUUACAUGUGUGUUUUACAAAUUAGUGCUGUGGCUUUUUCCUAAGGUUUGGUGUUGACUGUUGGGCUAGCUAGGUAGCUAUCUAGACAUGCUUUUAGGAAGGAAGCAUGAUGAAUAUACACUCACCUAAAGGAUUAUUAAGACCACCUGUUCAAUUUCUCAUUAAUGCAAUUAUCUAAUCAACCAAUCACAUGGCAGUUGCUUCAAUGCAUUUAGGGGUGUGGUCCUGGUCAAGACAAUCUCCUGA